UCAAAUUGCAGAUUCUAUCCCUGAACAUUUAGGAACUGCAGAUCCGUCACCUAACUCCUAGGAAUUACAAAACUGUUCUUGAACUUUAUGGAAGUUACAGAAAGGUUAUUUAUCUUUCUGAAAUUGCAGUUUGGUCACUGAACUUCUGACUAUGACCAUUUGGUCGCUAAACUUCUAACUAUGACCAUCUGGUCACACGCCUUCUCCAGCCGAUGCCUCGAAUCUCUUCGCUGGCGUUGUUGGGUGAGCGCCGCCACUUCUGACGCCGCUCUUCCUAACUCUCCUCCAACACAGCCCUCAUAGAUCGCCGCCAAUCUCCCUCCUUUCUCUCACAACACAUAGGAAUUACAAAACUGUUCUUGAACUUUAUGGAAGUUACAGAAAGGUUAUUUAUCUUUCUGAAAUUGCAGUUUGGUCACUGAACUUCUGACUAUGACCAUUUGGUCGCUAAACUUCUAACUAUGACCAUCUGGUCACACGCCUUCUCCAGCCGAUGCCUCGAAUCUCUUCGCUGGCGUUGUUGGGUGAGCGCCGCCACUUCUGACGCCGCUCUUCCUAACGCUCCGCCAAAAUAGCCGUCGUAGAUCGCCUCCAAUCUCCCUCCUUGAACUACAGACACCGCGGCUGCCACUCUUCUUCAUCACCUGCCAAGAUCGAAUCUCCUCUCUCUCUAAAGAGGGGAGAGAUCCGCUGCCGUAGCCCUUAUCGACUUGCCCACACUCCCUUGAGCUUUGGAGGUCGCCGCUGCUCCCUCAGCUCCAAUGUUAUGAACUGGUUUUGGGAACC
This 786-nucleotide long non-coding RNA is filed under the name Linum usitatissimum (flax). Its description in RNAcentral is "long non-coding RNA (LUSI_LNC003515)". Lineage: Eukaryota; Viridiplantae; Streptophyta; Magnoliopsida; Malpighiales; Linaceae. The record is from RNAcentral.